GGGGGCGAUCUUGGUUUCGACGGGGGUUGCGAAGCAGAUGCGGGCAUACCGGGGUCUCAGAUUCCCGUAAAACACUGAACUUAAAUAGUCGCAAACGACGAAACUUACGCACUGGCCGCUUAAGGCCUGCCGUUGCAGCAGUUGGCCGAUGGGCUGCGUAGGGUAAAACCUACAGCAACGUUAUUUACAUGGGCUGGUUUCGUGUCGGGUUACUUGGCACGGAAUAAGAUUUAAGGUAACUGGCUUCCAAACAGCCUGUCUGCCGGCGGAAUGGAAGCAAGACUUCAAAUAGACCGACUAAGUAUGUAGAACGCUUUGUAGAGGACUUUCGGACGGGGGUUCAAUUCCCCCCGCCUCCACCA
This 362-nucleotide transfer-messenger RNA is filed under the name Uruburuella suis. RNAcentral's name for it is "Neisseria suis Standard tmRNA". It matches the Rfam family "transfer-messenger RNA". Rfam says of the family: Bacterial tmRNA, also known as 10Sa RNA or SsrA, is named for its dual tRNA and mRNA-like properties. Its role is to liberate the mRNA from a stalled ribosome. The record is from RNAcentral. Lineage: Bacteria; Pseudomonadati; Pseudomonadota; Betaproteobacteria; Neisseriales; Neisseriaceae.